RNAcentral lists this ribosomal RNA (392 nucleotides) under uncultured bacterium. Its description in RNAcentral is "partial 16S ribosomal RNA". It matches the Rfam family "Bacterial small subunit ribosomal RNA", at positions 523 to 918 of the family's 1533-position model. The record is from RNAcentral.
AUACGGAAGGUCCGGGCGUUAUCCGGAUUUAUUGGGUUUAAAGGGAGCGCAGGCGGAGAUGCAAGCGUGACGUCAAAUUUCGGGGCUCAACCCCGUCUCGCGUCGCGAACUGCGUCCCUUGGUUGCGGGAAGGGAGGCGGAACUCGUGGUGUAGCGGUGAAAUGCAUAGAUAUCACGAAGAACUCCGAUCGCGAAGGCAGCCUUCCGGCCCGUCAACGACGCUCAUGCUCGAAGGUGCGGGUAUCAAACAGGAGUAGAUACCCUGGUAGUCCGCACAGUAAACGAUGGACACCCGCGGUUUGGCCUGUAUGGCUGAGCCGCCAAGCGAAAGCGUUAAGUGUCCCACCUGGGGAGUACGCCGGCAACGGUGAAACUCAAAGGAAUUGACGGGG